CGCCUGUUAGGCAGUUGUACACGGAGGUAGCGCCCACUUCCCCUAUUUCUCUGCUCUCCUCCUCCUAUUCUCUACUAGACGCGCCAGAUCGAUCGGCGGCGCCCUCCGAUUCACCCCCUGCAAGGUCGAACGGCGCAGCCCUCCUCAUCUGCGGGAUCGAUUGCCGGCCUGCUCCCGCGGUCUUCUCUGCGGCGCCCCAGCGCGCUAGAACGCCGCCGCCCUCCCCACCGGCGGGAUCGAGCGCCAGCCUCGCCCGCGACCUUCUCCGUCCGCACCCACGAGAACGCCUCCGCCUGUACCCGCGAGAACGUCAUCGCCCGCACACGCACGAAACGCCUCCGCCUGCUCCCCCGAGGACGCCGCCACGCGCACCCGCGCCAACGCCACCGCUCUCCUCAAGAUUAUUACAUCAUGAGACUUACAAGAUAUAACAAACACAAAGAUACUGCUAUGGAAAAAAAAAAGGAGUGAAGCACGGCCAGGAGAUGAACACCCGAUAUUUGUUACACAGAUUACGGCUGAAGUUCUAAAGGAGCACAUCACCUCAAGCACGUUCUUUUGUAUCUAGGAUAUUAGCUUAUGCAGGAUGCAUCCUAAAGUUAGAAGAAAAAGUUGAACAACAAAUGAGAGAGGCAAAUGCGAUGUACCAAUAAUAGUUAACCGAGAGAGGGAAAACACAAGAGGUUGCACUUGGAGAGAUGCAAAGAAGCAGCAAGAAGAAUUGAAGACUAUGAUGCGUGAAAGCCAUCAUUAUAUGGUGGUGCUAUUUUAGUAUGAACUUGGAAUGCUGUCUUUAGUUAUGUUAGUUUUAUAUUGCAACUUAUUUUGUGAUGUACAAAGAUAUUUGGUUCUGAGUUACAUAUAUAUUGUGAUUUCGAUGGCAA
Molecule: long non-coding RNA, 884 nt
Organism: Lolium perenne
Lineage: Eukaryota; Viridiplantae; Streptophyta; Magnoliopsida; Poales; Poaceae
Source: RefSeq, a predicted model, not a curated record